Molecule: ribosomal RNA, 397 nt
Filed under: Bacillus sp. MO.12b
Lineage: Bacteria; Bacillati; Bacillota; Bacilli; Caryophanales; Bacillaceae
Description: bacterial SSU rRNA
Rfam family: Bacterial small subunit ribosomal RNA
Source: RNAcentral
CGGCUACCACUUACAGAUGGACCCGCGGCGCAUUAGCUAGUUGGUGAGGUAACGGCUCACCAAGGCGACGAUGCGUAGCCGACCUGAGAGGGUGAUCGGCCACACUGGGACUGAGACACGGCCCAGACUCCUACGGGAGGCAGCAGUAGGGAAUCUUCCGCAAUGGACGAAAGUCUGACGGAGCAACGCCGCGUGAGUGAUGAAGGUUUUCGGAUCGUAAAGCUCUGUUGUUAGGGAAGAACAAGUGCCGUUCAAAUAGGGCGGCACCUUGACGGUACCUAACCAGAAAGCCACGGCUAACUACGUGCCAGCAGCCGCGGUAAUACGUAGGUGGCAAGCGUUGUCCGGAAUUAUUGGGCGUAAAGGGCUCGCAGGCGGUUUUCUUAAGUCUGAUGUG